GAUGAACGCUGGCGGCGUGCCUAAUACAUGCAAGUCGAGCGAACAGACGAGGAGCUUGCUCCUCUGACGUUAGCGGCGGACGGGUGAGUAACACGUGGAUAACCUACCUAUAAGACUGGGAUAACUUCGGGAAACCGGAGCUAAUACCGGAUAACAUGUUGAACCGCAUGGUUCAACAGUGAAAGACGGUUUUGCUGUCAAUUAUAGAUGGAUCCGCGUCGCAUUAGCUAGUUGGUAAGGUAACGGCUUACCAAGGCAACGAUGCGUAGCCGACCUGAGAGGGUGAUCGGCCACACUGGAACUAAGACACGGUCCAGACUCCUACGGGAGGCAGCAGUAGGGAAUCUUCCGCAAUGGGCGAAAGCCUGACGGAGCAACGCCGCGUGAGUGAAGAAGGUCUUCGGAUCGUAAAACUCUGUUAUUAGGGAAGAACAAAUGUGUAAGUAACUAUGCACGUCUUGACGGUACCUAAUCAGAAAGCCACGGCUAACUACGUG
Molecule: ribosomal RNA, 497 nt
Filed under: uncultured bacterium
Lineage: Bacteria
Description: partial 16S ribosomal RNA
Rfam family: Bacterial small subunit ribosomal RNA
Source: RNAcentral